CUGAUGCAGCGACGCCGCGUGAACGAUGAAGGCUUUCGAGUCGUAAAGUUCUGUUCUUGGGGAAGAUAACGACGGUACCCAAGGAGAAAGCACCGGCUAAAUACGUGCCAGCAGCCGCGGUAAUACGUAUGGUGCAAGCGUUGUCCGGAAUUACUGGGCGUAAAGAGUUCGUAGGCGGUUAGAUUAGUCAGAAGUGAAAGGCUACGGCUCAACCGUAGUAAGCUUUUGAAACUGUCUAACUUGAGUACUGGAGAGGAAAGCGGAAUUCCUAGUGUAGCGGUGAAAUGCGUAGAUAUUAGGAAGAACACCAGUGGCGAAGGCGGCUUUCUGGACAGUAACUGACGCUGAGGAACGAAAGCGUGGGGAGCGAACAGGAUUAGAUACCCUGGUAGUCCACGCCGUAAACGAUGAGAACUAGGUGUUGGGGGUCGAACCUCAGUGCCGCAGCUAACGCAGUAAGUUCUCCGCCUGGGGAGUACGAUCGCAAGAUUGAAACUCAAAGGAAUUGACGGA
This 513-nucleotide ribosomal RNA is filed under the name uncultured Bacillota bacterium. RNAcentral describes it as "bacterial SSU rRNA". It matches the Rfam family "Bacterial small subunit ribosomal RNA", at positions 383 to 917 of the family's 1533-position model. The record is from RNAcentral. Lineage: Bacteria; Bacillati; Bacillota.